This 598-nucleotide ribosomal RNA is filed under the name Cyathus sp. Its description in RNAcentral is "partial large subunit ribosomal RNA". It matches the Rfam family "Eukaryotic large subunit ribosomal RNA", at positions 77 to 653 of the family's 3401-position model. Lineage: Eukaryota; Fungi; Basidiomycota; Agaricomycetes; Agaricales; Nidulariaceae. The record is from RNAcentral.
CCCCUAGUAACUGCGAGUGAAGCGGGAAAAGCUCAAAUUUAAAAUCUGGUGGUCCUUGGCCAUCCGAGUUGUAAUCUAGAGAAGUGUUACCCGCGUUGGACCGUGUACAAGUCUCCUGGAAUGGAGCGUCAUAGAGGGUGAGAAUCCCGUCUUUGACACGGACUACCAAGGCUUUGUGGUGCGCUCUCAACGAGUCGAGUUGUUUGGGAAUGCAGCUCAAAAUGGGUGGUAAAUUCCAUCUAAAGCUAAAUACAGGCGAGAGACCGAUAGCGAACAAGUACCGUGAGGGAAAGAUGAAAAGAACUUUGGAAAGAGAGUUAAACAGUACGUGAAAUUGCUGAAAGGGAAACGCUGGAAGUCAGUCGCGUUGGCUAGGAAUCAACCUUGCUUUUUUGGCGGGGUUACUUUUUAAUUUACGGGCCAACAUCAAUUUUGACCAUUGCUGGAAAAAGGUCUUAAGGAAUGUGGCACCUUCGGGUGUGUUAUAGUCCUGGGUUGUAUACAGUGGUUGGGAUUGAGGAACGCAGCAGCCGCAAGGUUGGGUCUUCGACCACACUCGUGCUUCGGAUGUUGGCAUAAUGGCUUUCAUCGACCCGUC